Molecule: non-coding RNA, 83 nt
Organism: Podarcis lilfordi (Lilford's wall lizard)
Lineage: Eukaryota; Metazoa; Chordata; Lepidosauria; Squamata; Lacertidae
Source: the annotation of a GenBank genome assembly
GCCCCCAACCCUGCAAUCAGUUCAGCCGGUAGAGCAUGAGAUCUUGGCUCUCAAGGUCGUAGGUUCGAGCCCCGCGUUGGGCA